UGCCAGCAGCCGCGGUAAUACGGAGGAUCCAAGCGUUAUCCGGAAUCAUUGGGUUUAAAGGGUCCGUAGGCGGUCUAAUAAGUCAGAGGUGAAAUCCUACAGCUCAACUGUAGCAUUGCCUUUGAUACUGUUAGUCUUGAGUUAUAUUGAAGUAGAAAGAAUAUGUAGUGUAGCGGUGAAAUGCAUAGAUAUUACAUAGAAUACCGAUUGCGAAGGCAGUCUACUAAUUAUAUACUGACGCUGAUGAACGAAAGCGUGGGUAGCGAACGGGAUUAGAUA
This 279-nucleotide ribosomal RNA is filed under the name uncultured bacterium. RNAcentral's name for it is "partial 16S ribosomal RNA". It matches the Rfam family "Bacterial small subunit ribosomal RNA", at positions 506 to 784 of the family's 1533-position model. The record is from RNAcentral.